AACGAACGCUGGCGGCGCGCCUAAUACAUGCAAGUCGAGCGAGAAGACGUAGCAAUACGUUUGUAAAGCGGCGAACGGGUGAGGAAUACAUGGGUAACCUACCCUCGAGUGGGGAAUAACUAGCCGAAAGGUUAGCUAAUACCGCGUACGCUCCUUGGACUUCGGUUCAGGGAGGAAAGCGAUACCGUGGGUAUCGCGCUCUUGGAUGGGCUCAUGUCCUAUCAGCUUGUUGGUGAGGUAACGGCUCACCAAGGCUUCGACGGGUAGCUGGUCUGAGAGGACGAUCAGCCACACUGGCACUGCGACACGGGCCAGACUCCUACGGGAGGCAGCAGUAAGGAAUAUUGCGCAAUGGGCGAAAGCCUGACGCAGCGACGCCGCGGUGGGGGAUGAA
Molecule: ribosomal RNA, 394 nt
Filed under: uncultured bacterium
Lineage: Bacteria
Description: bacterial SSU rRNA
Rfam family: Bacterial small subunit ribosomal RNA
Source: RNAcentral